Molecule: ribosomal RNA, 283 nt
Filed under: uncultured prokaryote
Description: partial 16S ribosomal RNA
Rfam family: Bacterial small subunit ribosomal RNA
Source: RNAcentral
UACGUAGGGGGCUAGAGUUAUCCGGAAUUACUGGGCGUAAAGGGUGCGUAGGUGGUUUCUUAAGUCAGAGGUGAAAGGCUACGGCUCAACCGUAGUAAGCCUUUGAAACUGGGAAACUUGAGUGCAGGAGAGGAGAGUGGAAUUCCUAGUGUAGCGGUGAAAUGCGUAGAUAUUAGGGGGAACACCAGUUGCGAAGGCGGCUCUCUGGUCUGUAACUGACACUGAGGCGCGAAAGCGUGGGGAGCAAACAGGAUUAGAUACCCCUGUAGUCCCUGAGCGGGCU